RNAcentral lists this transfer RNA (77 nucleotides) under Moraxella caviae. RNAcentral describes it as "tRNA-Met". It matches the Rfam family "tRNA". Rfam says of the family: Transfer RNA (tRNA) molecules are approximately 80 nucleotides in length. Their secondary structure includes four short double-helical elements and three loops (D, anti-codon, and T loops). RNAcentral also lists the same sequence under 1 other name. The record is from RNAcentral. Lineage: Bacteria; Pseudomonadati; Pseudomonadota; Gammaproteobacteria; Moraxellales; Moraxellaceae.
GGGCCUAUAGCUCAGUCGGUUAGAGCAGGGGACUCAUAAUCCCUUGGUCCACAGUUCGAGUCUGUGUGGGCCCACCA